UGGGGAAUAUUGCACAAUGGGGGAAACCCUGAUGCAGCGACGCCGCGUGAGUGAAGAAGUAUUUCGGUACGUAAAGCUCUAUCAGCAGGGAAGAAAGGAACUAAAGUUCCCAUGACGGUACCUGACUAAGAAGCCCCGGCUAACUACGUGCCAGCAGCCGCGGUAAUACGUAGGGGGCAAGCGUUAUCCGGAUUUACUGGGUGUAAAGGGAGUGUAGACGGCAGCGCAAGUCUGGAGUGAAAUGCCGGGGCCCAACCCCGGAACUGCUUUGGAAACUGUGCAGCUUGAGUGCGGGAGAGGUAAGUGGAAUUCCUAGUGUAGCGGUGAAAUGCGUAGAUAUUAGGAGGAACACCAGUGGCGAAGGCGGCUUACUGGACCGUAACUGACGUUGAGGCUCGAAAGCGUGGGGAGCAAACA
RNAcentral lists this ribosomal RNA (417 nucleotides) under uncultured Eubacteriales bacterium. RNAcentral describes it as "bacterial SSU rRNA". It matches the Rfam family "Bacterial small subunit ribosomal RNA", at positions 355 to 774 of the family's 1533-position model. The record is from RNAcentral. Lineage: Bacteria; Bacillati; Bacillota; Clostridia; Eubacteriales.